CUUUUAAAGGAUAGAAGUUAAUCCAUUGGUUUUAGAAACCAUUAACCGU
RNAcentral lists this transfer RNA (49 nucleotides) under Terrapene carolina (common box turtle). Its description in RNAcentral is "partial tRNA-Leu". The record is from RNAcentral. Lineage: Eukaryota; Metazoa; Chordata; Testudines; Emydidae.